GAUGAACGCUGGCGGCGUGCCUAAUACAUGCAAGUCGAACGCAUUGUGGUUGAAAUGAUAUGAAGAACUUGUUCAGAUUUGAUUUUCAACAUUGCAAUGAGUGGCGAACGGGUGAGUAACACGUGGGAAACCUACCUCUUAGCAGGGGAUAACAUUUGGAAACAAAUGCUAAUACCGUAUAAUAAUUAAAACCGCAUGGUUUUAGUUUAAAAGAUGGUCUUGCUAUCACUAAGAGAUGGUCCCGCGGUGUAUUAGUUAGUUGGUGAGGUAAUGGCUCACCAAGACAAUGAUACAUAGCCGAGUUGAGAGACUGACCGGCCACAAUGGGACUGAGACACGGCCCAUACUCCUACGGGAGGCAGCAGUAGGGAAGUACUUCCACAAUGGACGAAAGUCUGAUGGAGCAACGCCGCGUGUGUGAUGAAGGGUUUCGGCUCGUAAAACACUGUUGUAAGAGAAGAAUAGACAUUGAGAGUAACUGUUACAAUGUGUGACGGUAU
RNAcentral lists this ribosomal RNA (500 nucleotides) under uncultured bacterium. RNAcentral describes it as "bacterial SSU rRNA". It matches the Rfam family "Bacterial small subunit ribosomal RNA", at positions 28 to 478 of the family's 1533-position model. The record is from RNAcentral.